AUAUGCUUGUCUCAAAGAUUAAGCCAUGCAUGUCUAAGUCCAAGCUGUGUUCACACGGCGAGACCGCGGACGGCUCAUUAAAUCAGUCGUGGUCCAAAUGGGCCAGUGCAAAUCCUACUUGGAUAACUGUGGUAAUUCCAGAGCUAAUACAUGCAACUGAUAUCCCGAAGGCGGUGUUUGGGCUUGCUUGCCUUGCGCUGCGCUGCUCUGACGGAUGCUUUUAUUAGACCAAGCCGCUGAGGACUUGAGGGUUCGCGCUCUCUUGUCUGACUCGUGUGAUGGUGACUCUGGAUAACCAAAUUCUGACAAGCGCACGUACUUCUCUUCUGAGCGAGACGGCGCUGCCACUUUCGAGUGUCUGCCUUAUCAGCUAUCAACCGUUCGUUAUGCGCGACCGAUGGCUUUGACGGGUAACGGGGAAUCAGGGUUCGAUUCCGGAGAGGCAGCCUGAGAGACGGCUACCACGUCCAAGGACGGCAGCAGGCACGCAAAUUACCCAAUCCCAGCAAAUGGGGGAGGUAGUGACGAAAUCUAACGAUGCGGGCGCCCUUUCUGGGGCCCCGCAAUCGGAAUGGGCACUUUCUAAACAACCUGUUGAGAACCUACUGA
RNAcentral lists this ribosomal RNA (609 nucleotides) under Eulimnogammarus verrucosus. RNAcentral describes it as "SSU rRNA". It matches the Rfam family "Eukaryotic small subunit ribosomal RNA", at positions 26 to 551 of the family's 1831-position model. The record is from RNAcentral. Lineage: Eukaryota; Metazoa; Arthropoda; Malacostraca; Amphipoda; Eulimnogammaridae.